Molecule: ribosomal RNA, 390 nt
Filed under: Hiatella sp.
Lineage: Eukaryota; Metazoa; Mollusca; Bivalvia; Adapedonta; Hiatellidae
Description: partial small subunit ribosomal RNA
Rfam family: Eukaryotic small subunit ribosomal RNA
Source: RNAcentral
AUUCCAGCUCCAAUAGCGUAUAUUAAAGUUGUUGCGGUUAAAAAGCUCGUAGUUGGAUCUCGGGUCCAGGCUUGCGGUCCGCCUCGCGGCGGUCACUGCUCGUCCUGGCCUACCUGCCGGUGUGUCCCUUGGUGCUCUUGACUGAGUGUCUCGGGCGGCCGGAACGUUUACUUUGAAAAAAUUAGAGUGUUCAAAGCAGGCUUGUCGCCUGAAUAAUGGUGCAUGGAAUGAUGGAAUAGGACCUCGGUUCUAUUUUGUUGGUUUUCGGAGCUCGAGGUAAUGAUUAAGAGGGACUGACGGGGGCAUUCGUAUUGCGGUGUUAGAGGUGAAAUUCUUGGAUCGCCGCAAGACGAACUACAGCGAAAGCAUUUGCCAAGCAUGUUUUCAUCA